GACGAACGCUGGCGGCGUGGAUUAGGCAUGCAAGUCGAACGGUAUCAUCCUUUCGGGGGUGAGAGAGUGGCGAACUGGUGAGUAACACGUAGGUUAUCUACCCUCAAGACGGGGACAACCCAGGGAAACUUGGGCUAAUACCGGAUGUGAGCAACUUUUAGUUGUUUGAAAGGUGGCGUAAGCUGUCGCUUGGGGAUGAGCCUGCGUCCUAUUAGUUAGUUGGUGAGGUAACGGCUCACCUAGGCAAUGAUAGGUAGGCGGCCUUAACGGGUGGUCGCCCACACUGGGAUUGAGAUACGGCCCAGACUCCUACGGGAGGCAGCAGUCGAGAAUAGUCUACAAUGGUCGGAAGACUGAUAGUGCGACGCCGCGUGAACGAUGAAUCCCUUCGGGGUGUAAAGUUCUUUUAUAUGUGAGCAGUGCUUCUUAUAUUAACAGUAUGGGGAGAGAGAUAUUAGCAUAUGAAUAAGCAACGGCUAACUCCGUAGCCAGCAGCCGCGGUAAACU
Molecule: ribosomal RNA, 507 nt
Filed under: uncultured bacterium
Lineage: Bacteria
Description: bacterial SSU rRNA
Rfam family: Bacterial small subunit ribosomal RNA
Source: RNAcentral